RNAcentral lists this ribosomal RNA (566 nucleotides) under uncultured bacterium. Its description in RNAcentral is "bacterial SSU rRNA". It matches the Rfam family "Bacterial small subunit ribosomal RNA", at positions 91 to 673 of the family's 1533-position model. The record is from RNAcentral.
CUUAGUGGCGGACGGGUGAGUAACGCGUGAGUAACCUGCCUUUCAGAGGGGGAUAACGUUCUGAAAAGAACGCUAAUACCGCAUGACAUAUCGGAGCUGCAUGGCUCUGGUAUCAAAGGAGCAAUCCGCUGAAAGAUGGACUCGCGUCCGAUUAGCCAGUUGGCGGGGUAAAGGCCCACCAAAGCGACGAUCGGUAGCCGGGUUGAGAGACUGAACGGCCACAUUGGGACUGAGACACGGCCCAGACUCCUACGGGAGGCAGCAGUGGGGGAUAUUGCACAAUGGGCGAAAGCCUGAUGCAGCAAUGCCGCGUGAGGGAAGACGGUCUUCGGAUUGUAAACCUCUGUCCUUGGUGAAGGUAAUGACGGUAGCCAAGGAGGAAGCUCCGGCUAACUACGUGCCAGCAGCCGCGGUAAUACGUAGGGAGCAAGCGUUGUCCGGAUUUACUGGGUGUAAAGGGUGCGUAGGCGGCUUUUUAAGUCGGGCGUGAAAGCUGUGGGCUUAACCCACAAAUUACGUUCGAAACUGGAAGGCUUGAGUGAAGUAGAGGUAGGCGGAAUUCCCGG